This 641-nucleotide long non-coding RNA is filed under the name Nicotiana benthamiana. Its description in RNAcentral is "long non-coding RNA (NBEN_LNC015886)". Lineage: Eukaryota; Viridiplantae; Streptophyta; Magnoliopsida; Solanales; Solanaceae. The record is from RNAcentral.
GAAGGGGAAGAAGAGGAUAUUUUAAACCAAUGCCGAGCAGAAGCUUCAAUAAAAGGAGAUUUGUCACCAAUGCAUAGCGCAAGAAAGAAGAAAUCUCAUCAAAGGAAAAGAAGUUGGGACGGCAGGGCGUGUGAAGACGUAAUCAUAAGGAAGCUCCCAAUGAGAAAUGCAAAUCUCAUCAAAGGGAAAGAAGUUGGGACGGCAGGGCGUGUGAAGACGUAAUCAUAAGGAAGAUCCCAAUGAGAAAUGCAAAGCAAAAACAAACAGUGCAACCUUCAGUCUUAAAACCUACUCGACUGAGGAACAAGCGGGAAGUUUAAAGACAGUUGAAGUCAACACUACACAUAAUUGAACAAAAGAAAGCAAUUAUGCUUUCUUUCCCAUCUCUUUAGUGUUUAUUGUUUUCUUGCUUUUAUUUUAUGAGACUUUUUUCAGCAACGAUAGGUUUUAUAAGGUAUGGUCGCUGCCGGUGUUUGUUAUGUGGGUGACAAUUCUGGCGUCCACCUCCUUAGCGUAUAAACCUAUCUUUGUAAUUUUAUCUUAAUAGGUCGAAUAUGGGAAGGUUGACACCCUUUCACGUUAUUCACCUAUUUGUACUAUUUUUCUUCUAUUAAUAAAAUCAAAAAUUUGCUAAAAAAAAA